GACGAACGCUGGCGGCGUGCUUAACACAUGCAAGUCGAACGGAAAGGCCCCCUUGUGGGGUACUCGUGUGGCGAACGGGGGAGUAACACGUGAGUAACCUACCCCUGACUUUGGGAUAACUUCAGGAAAAUGGGGCUAAUACCGGCUAGGAGCUCCUGCUGCAUGGUGGGGGGUGGAGAGUUUCGGCGGUUGGGGAUGGACUCGCGGCUUAUCAGCUUGUUGGUGGGGUAGUGGCUCACCAAGGCUUUGACGGGUAGCCGGCCUGAGAGGGUGACCGGCCACAUUGGGACUGAGAUACGGCCCAGACUCCUACGGGAGGCAGCAGUGGGGAAUAUUGCACAAUGGGCGGAAGCCUGAUGCAGCAACGCCGCGUGCGGGAUGACGGCCUUCGGGUUGUAAACCGCUUUCGCCUGUGACGAAGCGUGAGUGACGGUAAUGGGUAAAGAAGCACCGGCUAACUACGUG
This 465-nucleotide ribosomal RNA is filed under the name uncultured bacterium. Its description in RNAcentral is "partial 16S ribosomal RNA". It matches the Rfam family "Bacterial small subunit ribosomal RNA", at positions 28 to 507 of the family's 1533-position model. The record is from RNAcentral.